Long non-coding RNA from Myotis myotis, 3961 nucleotides. RefSeq lists it as uncharacterized. The record is from RefSeq and is a predicted model, not a curated record. Lineage: Eukaryota; Metazoa; Chordata; Mammalia; Chiroptera; Vespertilionidae. The transcript is spliced from 3 exons.
UGGGGUCCCCACAACAUGAGGAGCUGUGUGAAAGGGUCGCGGCAUCAGGAAGGUUGAGAACCGCUGCAGGGUAACAGCAGCGUCCCCUCACAGGGGGUUGGGAGGACUGAGAAGAGAUCAUGCACAGCGCUCUUUACAUGUCACAGAACAGAAAGCUGUAUGCUGGUUUACGGUCCUGCAGACACACCAGGGCAACGGAGGGGCCGAGGAAAGCCCGUGCACUCUGUUCUCUACUCGGGGGAGGAGGUCAGCAAAAGUCUCUACUGUGAUGGGGCUAAAGCUGCUCCUCGGAGAGCCAUGCUCUGGCCACUGCUGCCACUCUCCUCCCACAGCUCACGGUGCUACAGCUGCACUGCCACACCCAGGCCUUCUAGAAAGAUCCACAGAGCAGGCUGCAGGGCCAGCGCCAGACACUUUCUGUGGGGAAUAAACGAAAGAAGGGAACUAGCAGCCUGGAGCUCUGGGGCUGUGGGUGGGGAACUGCUCUUGCAAGAUACCGUUGUCCCCUCCCCAGAAGUGGAUCCUGUCACACAGAACCCUUCUUCUGAGUCUUAGGGGAGGUGCAUUUAGAAGAUGGAUGCUUUUCUCAGGAAGAUAAGAGGAAAAUGUUUCCCUUAUUCUUCUACCUAGUGCUGCCCGGUGUCUGUGUGGGAGAGGCCAGGGCUGCCUCUUCCUGGCAGCAUUUUGGGGGAAGACCAGGGUUACAGCCACUUCUAGCCCCCCUCCUUCUUUUUCUGUUUCAUGUGAUUUAUUUUGCUGGAGGGUACAUUUGAUUUUUUCUUCUUUCCAGAUUCAGCUUUUAGAAUGACUAUUUUCACACAUCAGUGUUUGUGUUCAUGGUUAAAGGUUAUUUUUAAGGGUGGAAUUUCUAACACUGUACAUUUCGAUCAUAUUUAGGAAUCCUUAACUUUUAUCCCCUGGGGUAGAACAAGAAACAACGUCAAGAAUUAUUUCUGGACUCUUCCCAGCCCAACAGGCCCUAGCGUGUGUCAGUGUUUCAGCCAGUGAGGCAGUGAACUGUUGACUCCUGACAUGGGUAAGUAAAAUGGAAUCUCUUUAACUUUUUUGUUAUUAAAAGACGAAACUUCCAGGUCAUUGUGAACGAUAUAUUCUUGAGGUCAGGUAUUCCUCGGCCGACAAAAGGUAACUUCUUACUUUCUAUAUCAUCUCCCAGUGCUUCUGUGUAGUGGUUAGUCCCCCUCACCCUCUACUUCCUACGCAGCACUCAGAGGAUUAUACUGCCCUCCAUCCCUCCCACCCCAGACCUGUUUUCCAUAGCACUUUGUAUAUAUCUUUGUUGUAGAUAUCACACAUACAAUGAUCACAUUGCACUGUGAUUGGCUUACAUAUCUAGCUCACUGGACUAUAAAUUAUUUGGGAUUAAGGAUGUUUCUCCUUUAGCCACUUCUAAUUGCUGUUGAUCUCUCUUCCGCAUAAUGGAGCUGUGAGCUGAGUCAUCCCUGGGUUUUUUCCUGCCGCCGGAUCUGGCUGCUCUGCAGAGGAGGAGCUGAACGUUUUGUGGUCAUUGUUCCAGAGAUCAGCUCUGGAAGGUGGGCGGCAGGAGGGGGCUGGGAACGCCGAAUUCCUAGUCUUCAGAAAACAAGCAAGUUGUUUCUUUGGGACACCCAUUGCCUUUUGAGACAUGCAUUUCUAGAACAGUCUCUGGUAAAGCAGGAUCAGAAAAAAACCCCACAAGGAUGAGAUUAAAAGCAAACAAGAGGCCUGGAGGGGAUCCAGGUGUAGCUGCAGCCUCACCCCUCUGGCCUCUGGACCCCAGACCCAAAUACGAAGGGCCUCAGAAGCUUCUCUCUGGAGUAAGCCUGACUGAAGAGGGAAGGAUCGGGCAUUUUCUGGAGGUUUCUGGCCUUGGGGUGAGUCUGGGGGAUGAGGUAGGGCCUUGCUGACAGGAGGCCCUGGAGCCCUCAUUCUAAAAUCUUGCUACUUUAGCCCUUUUCAGGGCCCUACCGCCUUGAAGCCAAAACCAGGAUCUGAAGUCCCCCAUGUUCUCCUCCCAUCGCUUUGUUUACCGCAUUUUAUAGAAUCAGCAUCAUCACUUCCGUCAUCUAACCUCCUCGUUCUACACCUAAGAAAAUUGCUGAGAAGGCUCCAAUGAAGACCAGGUUUUCAGGCUGAGGAGGACAUGAAGUACCAGCGGGGAGAGCAGCGGCCAUCAACCCGACACUGAAGUUAACAGGGACACGGGUGCAGGCAAGGGGGAAAAGCCUUGAGAAAUGCAGUUUUAUGCUAAAGAUCUUCUUAGAUCAGAGUUGAGGGAAGGCACAUAUUAAUCUCAUCAAAGAACAUGGUGAUUUUACCAUCUUGUUUAAAUCACUAUAUAAAGGAGAGGAGGGUGGGAAUCAGAAUAUUUCAGAGACUUUUGUGAAGCAAAAGCUAGGAGAGAUGAAGGCAAUCAGUGUUUGAGCCCGAACAGUAAAAACAGGAGUUAGUGUCCAUAAUCAUCUCUCAGAUGUUUUCAUUUACCAACCAGAAAAAUUAGAAUUUUCUCUCUGGCCCUGGCAAGCCAUCUCUUAGCGCAGUGCUGAGCUGCAUUCAAAUCCUCUGUUCCUUUUCCCAAACCCCAGGAGAAUUAAUCAAAUAAUAUACAGCAUUUUCACAAUAUAAGAAAAACGCUAUAGUCUGUAAAGGGGAGGGGACUAGUGUAGGGACAGUCUGACAAUUAUUUGAAGCUCUUUCGGGCUCCUGACAUUCACCUCCUGGCUCCAGGGUGGGACCAGACCGCCGAUCCCGAGGGGCCCGCGCCCUCCCGGGCUGACAGCGGCGCCAUGAAGUCCAAGUUCUGGGAUUCGAGAAUAGGUUCCGGUACUAAGUAGCUGUGUCUGGUUUUAGGGAAAUCACGAACUCCCCGGGCUGCCGCAUCCCCAUUGGUAAAAUGGGGUGACCGUUUUCCUCCUUCCGGCCCCAGCGCAGACAUCCGCCCGCAUCUCAGUGGCACCCCCUGAAGGGAAGGGGAGAAGCUGAGGAAGGAACUACUUUUGCUUCCCUCACAAAGGCUGCGGAGGGUUAUUGAAUGCCAACAGCGUGAGUUGUCCUUCGCCCAUAAAUACGCCUCUCCCGGCUCUGCAGCAGGCAUUCAGGCAGCGAGCGCAGAGAUGACUGCUGAGACCGAGGCACUACUUGAGGAAACCAGAUAAGUUUUUCUAUUAAAAAGAGAUAGAAAAUAAUAUUCUUUAGGAAAUGUAAAUAGCGAAGGGAGGUACUUACUGAGAUACUGCUUAGCAUUAAUAUUUUAACUUUUGUAACAAAGAUCUUAUUUAAGGGAAAAUAUGAUGAAGACUUACUUAAAAAGUAGUUUCAGAAAGGAAGAGAGAAGAAAAGUACUUCCAGAACAUGACGGAGAUUAAGAGAUGAAACUUCUUUACGAAGUAAAAUAAUUUUCAAAGAAAUGGCUGAUAGGACUGCAAAGUCUGAACUCAAAAACGCCUUAACUAAAUUGAAGGGCAAACUUUAAAAAUGCCAUUAAACCGUAGGUGACAUAAAUAGAACGUAAUUGUCAUUUAAAGAAAGUUGGAGGUGGUUAAACUAUAUAUUAAAUGCCGUAUUUAAAAGAGAAAAAUUGAUUUAAGAGAGGCCUUCAAAUUCAUGGCGCAGUAAAGAUUGUGUCAUUUGAAGCCCAGUUGCUCUUACGGCAUUAUUAGCUUAAGAUGGGCAAUUGUUAAUUUAGAAAUCAUAGGAUAAAAUUUUGGAGAAAGAUUAGAAAUUUGAAGUGGAACACUUGGAAGACAGAAGUGUACAGGAAGGUGAAGAAAAAGACUUAGAGAAGACAGGAAAAUAGAAGAUACAACAUGCAUUUUAGAAAGCCGAAGAGAAAAUAUUUAGGUAAAUUAACCAAAGCAACUAAGGGCACAGAUACAAAUGUAGUAGAAAACCAGAAGAUAGAAAACGAGAAGAUACAGAUUUAAUAGAAAAGUAGAAAAUAGAAAAUGAAGAUACAAAUUUAGUA